This 324-nucleotide unclassified non-coding RNA is filed under the name soil metagenome. RNAcentral's name for it is "partial contains 5.8S ribosomal RNA, internal transcribed spacer 2, and large subunit ribosomal RNA". The stretch from base 1 to 120 matches the Rfam family "5.8S ribosomal RNA", at positions 35 to 154 of the family's 154-position model. The record is from RNAcentral.
GAUGAAGAACGCAGCUAAAUGCGAUAAGUAGUGCGAAUUGCAGAAUUCAGUGAAUCAUCGAAUCUUUGAACGCACAUUGCGCCCCUUGGUAUUCCAUGGGGCAUGCCUGUUCGAGCGUCAUUUGUACCUUCAAGCUUUGCUUGGUGUGGGGUGUUUGUCCUGAGGGACUCGCCUUAAAGUAAUUGGCAGCCAGUGUUUUGGUUUUGAAGCGCAGCACAAGUCGCGAUUCAAGGCUAUACGCCAGCUUCCACAAGCCUUUUUCACUUUUGACCUCGGAUCAGGUAGGGAUACCCGCUGAACUUAAGCAUAUCAAUAAGCGGAGGA